CAGUCGCCGCGGUAAUACGUAGGGUGCAAGCGUUAUUCGGAAUUACUGGGCGUAAAGCGUGCGCAGGCGGUUAUAUAAGACAGAUGUGAAAUCCCCGGGCUCAACCUGGGAACUGCAUUUGUGACUGUAUAGCUAGAGUACGGCAGAGGGGGAUGGAAUUCCGCGUGUAGCAGUGAAAUGCGUAGAUAUGCGGAGGAACACCGAUGGCGAAGGCAAUCCCCUGGGCCUGUACUGACGCUCAUGCACGAAAGCGUGGGGAGCAAACAGGAUUAGAUACCCCCGUAGUCCCUGUCUCUUAUAC
RNAcentral lists this ribosomal RNA (301 nucleotides) under uncultured bacterium. RNAcentral describes it as "partial 16S ribosomal RNA". It matches the Rfam family "Bacterial small subunit ribosomal RNA", at positions 509 to 807 of the family's 1533-position model. The record is from RNAcentral.